Esox lucius (northern pike) is the source of this 1035-nucleotide long non-coding RNA. NCBI's taxonomy places the organism in Eukaryota, Metazoa, Chordata, Actinopteri, Esociformes, Esocidae. The record is from Ensembl.
AAACAACCUGCCCCUGGGAGGAGAGGCACCAGGAAGAAGGUCAAUGGCGCAGUCAUAAGGUCGGUAGGGGGGCAGUGACGUGGCCUUGGUCUUGUUGAAUACUUCCUUAAUGUCCAAAUAGCAUUCAGGAACGCCGGUGAGAUCGGGAAAAUCCGAUGUAGGUUCCUCCUGACACCCGUUGGAGGAAACAGUCACAUCGCCACCCACCUCCAAGCGAGUGGCAAAACAAGUCCGUUUGCAGUCCUCUCCCCAUUUCACAAUCCCGCCCGAGAGCCAGUCAAUGUGUGGAUUGACACGUCACUGGAGAUGUACGGUGAGUGAUACUCCAUAGUAACUGUCCGUCCAGAGCCGCUGCCUCCAACAGUUUGGAAAGCUGGACGGAGUCCAAAAGAAGUUCUCUGGCGAGAUUGGUGUCCAUUAGGCUGGUGUCAGCGCCAGAAUCCAUCAACACCACCUGCGUGAGAGACACAGAACCAUUGCUCAAAGUGACCUCAACCUUGGGACGAGAGGGACAACUAGGAAUGCGUGUACGGCUCACCAGCGCCCUCUGGAUUACUGAUGAGCCCCAUCUUUUACUGGGCAGAAAGCGAUGCGAUGACCCAGCUGGGCGCAGUAGAGACAGCGUCCCUCUCUUAUGCGACGUUGACGCUCCUCAGGAGAAAGGCGAGGCCCUACCCAACUGCAUGGGCUCCUCAGCUGGCACCAAUGAAUAUAGGCCAAGUUUUACUAGGUCAGAAGGGCUUCAAGCCUCAUUGAAUUAGGCUAAUUAACAGUAAAUGUGAAUGACUUGGCGUUCAUUCAAACUGGGCUUUUUCAAAUAAGUGCAGAUUUCUUUAGCUGUGUUGAUGAAAUACCCCCCAGGACCAGGAUUGGGAAACACUGCUUUAAGAUAUCCCUUUUAUUUAUGUAACUAACAUGAACAUUUGUUGAAUUCAGUUGUUAAGCACUCCUCAUAAUAUAUGUGUUUUUAGUGACCUUAUUUCAUAUUUGGGUGAAAUUUGACUUGGUCCCAAUUUUAGGCAAACAUUAUUCCAG